UCUUAUCAAGCCCCCUUUCCUUCAAUCCUUCCACCAUAUUGAUCUCUCUAGCAAUUCUCUAACUUCUAGCUAGCCUCAUUAUGCUGUUAAGAAUGAGUUUUUUCAACGCUUUGAUGCUAUUAAGCAUGUUUCUUUUUGUUGCGGCACCCGUUCACGGCUUAGAUUCAAGGAAGCUUGAUGAGACCACCGUGCCUGCACCAACUGAAGAGAAGUGCACGCCAUGUAAUCCAAGUCCUCCACCACCAUCGCCUCCUCCACCAUCGCCUCCUCCACCAGUAUUGUGUCCACCACCACCUACUCCACCAGAGUUGCCACCACCGACUCCAAAGAAGCCACCAUCAGGUUACUGCCCUCCACCCCCACCCGCACCAUCCUUUAUUUACGUAACUGGUCCACCAGGGAACUUGUACCCUAUUGACAACUAUUUCUCGGGUGCUGGCCGGCCAACCGUGGGUUUGCAAGUUUUGAUUGGAUGUGGAAUAUUGUUAGGAUCACUGUUUGUACUGAAUUUAUAGAAGUUAAUCGAGAUGGCGUGAUCAAAGAGUCCAAGGACAACAAGAUAAAGAAUUUUCGUGUCCAAAAGGAUAUAACUUCAUAGCUAAGAUCUACUUCGUUCUUGCUUUAUUAUCUCUAAAUUGUUCAGUAUCUUGAAUAACAGUCUUCUCUUCCCUUUUCGUAAUUUCGUUUCAGCAACAGUUUUUUUUUUUUUUUAAUUCCGUCCUGUUUUCUUUUAGUUAUGUUGAUGUUGCUAAUCUGGUCAUGAUUUAUGGUCUGAUAAAUGAAAGAAAAAGUAUACGAUCAAUUUUGGGUUCUGGUUCUAUAAAUUAAAUGUAAACUUUUACAAGAAUAAUUAGCUGGUGCUAUAUAUUGUAUUAUUUAUCUUUGAUUAUUGUGGAUGGUAUAAUGGAUGAACCACCAGCAUGCAUCUCCACUGGUUUGUUUUACUUAAAAACUUGCCUUCAAUUAGGCCCACCAUUAGUCGGUGAUGUCUUUAGCAAUCUCCUCAAUAAUUUGUACACAUGAUUCCAGUUUUGAAAUGUAGGGUUCGUUCUUCAUGGAUAACUUGAUUAAUUAGUUUGUGGAAAAAGUCGGGUUGACCAGAUAGUUAAAGUUUAUUUGGUAUUAUAUUUUUUUUAAAGUGAUUUUAUUUAAAAAUAUAUUAAGAUAAUAUUUUUUAAAAUACAUCAAUAUAUUAAAACAAUCUAAAAAUAAUUUUUUUUUUUUAAAAUAAUUUUAAAAAUAAAAAAUAAACUUGUCUUUGUCAAUAGGCAGUCCUUUAUUCUGAAAAUAAACUUGUUCAAGUCAUUAAUGCAUUCAUUGGACAAAUGGUCGUCAGAUGGGGACAGUGGCAUUAGGCAAGAGAUCCAAAAAUCAAAGAACAAAUUGAAAAGUAGCCCAUCACACGAGAAUAACUUGUAACAUUCGAAAAGUUAUAAGCCUUUUUAAAUACUUUUAACCAAAGUCAUUUCAAAGAAAACUCACACAAUCAUUAAGAUUUGUGUAAAACAAAUGAUUCCACUUCGAGAAAAAAGAAUACCCAAGACAAAAUAAUUUGUGUUAACUUGGGCCGCCCCCUCCUCUCUCUUAGAAAUCCCCUUCUAAGUCCAUCUUUGGUUAUCAAGAUGCAGAGCUUUUAAAAGCCAUAGUUGACCAACCGUCUUUGUAAGAUCUAUAUGUAGCGGUAAAAUAUAGUUAAAAUUAUGAUUUGUCUCGAUCAUGGUUUUAAAAAUAUAUAAUUGAUCAAUAUAAAUAUAUUAUAAUUUUACAUUAAUUUCAAUAAAAAUUCUCUUUUAAAAUUUAAAUUACAAAAAAAAAACUACAAUCUGUAUUUUUUAAAAUCUAUAUUUUUAAAUUAUAAUCACAAGAACUACAUCCAUAUAGAAUAAUUGCACUAACUCCAUAGCUUGGAUGCACUAAAUCCAGAGCUUGGAUAACUGGGCAUGGCGCCAUCUGUCCCCUGCAAAGCCUUCUUGCCCCAAAUGCCACGAAUCCUGGUUGCUAGAAAAUGCUUCGAAAUCAAAGAGGAGAUGACAGCCAUAUGAUUUGGUGUCAGUGGAUAAAAUCAGUUCUGAUCACAAAUGUGUCAGAUGUCGUCAGGUACAGUUUCUGAGAUCUACUUCGGUUUCACCAAAUUGUAGGGCCCAUCGGUCUGGUGGGUCAUCGGUGAAGUCUGGCAGCUUGUAGUUAGCCUAAUCUAUCUAUCUCUCUCUCUCUCUCUUCCCUUUUUACCUUUUCUUUUGGUUUUCGUUUCUAUCAUUACUAUGCGAACUAACUAUGUGAACCAAGGUGGUUAAAGUGGUUGUGCAUUCCUCUAGUUUGCAGAGAAACCAUCACAGAUUGAUCAAAUUAACUGGGGAAUGUUUGGGAGUACAGAGCACGUAUGGUAUUAUAUUUGAAAUUAUUUUUUAAAAUGUUUUUUUUGUUUAAAAACAUAUUCACUUUAAAAUAUAUUAAAAUAAUAUUUUUAUUUUUUAAAAAUUAAUUUUAACAUUAACGCAUUAGAACAUGAAAACAUUAAAAAAAUAAUUUUAAAUAAAAAAUUUAUUUUCAUGAAACACAAUUCUAAACAUUGUCUACAUUUGCUAAGGUAACUAGCCUCCCCAUGUAAAUUAGACUCUUCUUUUAUUGAUUUUAAUCCUCUAAUAGUAAAUCAAUGGUUUAGGUUACUCCAUUUAGUAAAGAAGUCACAUAAUUUUAAAAACAUUCGAAUUACCUACUACUUGCAGUAAUGAAAUUUUAACAGUUAAAAUUCAAACUAAUUCAUGAUAGAACUUAAAAAUGGAUUAAAGUUAUUUUUUUUAUUUAAAAAUGGAUCUUUAUAUAUAUAAAAAAUAUCAACGUACUGUUUGGGAGAGUAAAAGGUCAGAGGAAGGAAUGAGAACAAGGAUAGAAAGUCUUUCCUCUGUUUGGGAGAAGGAAGGAAGGAAGGAAAAAUUUGCCGUGUGCCCACCAGAGAGUGAAGGGAAAAUGUGUGCAAUUACCUAUUGUAACCCUUACAAAAAAUUUCCCUUGCCACCAUGAAGGAUACAAAUGUAAUUGCAUCAAUUUUCACUACCAAUUCUUUCCUUCCAGACUCCCCUCCAUCCAAGCAUCGAAGAGAAAGCUGUUUUCUCUCUUUAAAUUUUUCUUUCCCCUCACUUUCAAUCCUCCCACGUUCUUUCCCCUGUUAAUUGGCUUCCAAACACAUUGUAAGAGUUUUAUCAAAAUUAUUUUUGAACUUUAAGAGAGAAUUUUAAAUUUCAGAGGAGCCGUGACUCUCGUUUGCGUCUCAUGGUUUCGUAGUCAAUUUUACAGAUAUAAUCUAUCAUGUUUAAUAUAGUUUUUUUUUUUUUUGACAAUCAACGAGAUUAAAUAAAAAACAAGAACAGGUCACAAAAAAAGUAAAGACAGGGCCGUCCAGAAGCCUGGACAUGGAACAUCUAGCAAUUGAUGGCUUUACAGGUAGGUGGAAAAAUCGUUGUGCACACAGACUGGAAAAUGUCAAGAAGAAAAGUAGCGUUCAUCUUUUUCAUGUAUACGAUGAUCAAUUGUUUUUGGUCGAAAAUAAUAGAGCACAACAGCCUGUGCUGCUGCACAAAAAGAAAAAGGAAUGCUAAUAAAGGGGAACUGAUCGAUCUGAAUAAUAUUGUCUAUGUGUUUUAUUUUUAAUUUCUCACACCCACAUGUAGAGAGAAUCCACAGCUCCUAAAAAGAACUGUUCUUUCUUAUUAAUUGCCAUGGAUGAAAUCAAGCCCGUGACUGGCAAAUAUCACCAAAUUCCCGGACAACCUUUCGAGACUAGUAGCUAUAUCACAGUUCCAUGCACCGAAGACCCUGAUAAAGAGCUCUUAUGAAGUCCCCUUUCCUUCAAUCCUCCACCAUAUUGAUCUCUCUAGCUAAUCUCUAACUUCUAGCUAGCCUCAUUAUGCUGUCAAGAAUGAGUUUUUUCAACUCUUUGAUGCUAUUAAGCAUGUUUCUUUUUGUUGCGGCACCCGUUCACGGCUUAGAUUCAAGGAAGCUUGAUGAGACCACCGUGCCUGGACCAACUGAAGAGAACUGCACGCCAUGCAAUCAAAGUCCUCCCCAACCAUCGCCUCCUCCACCAGUAUUGUGUCCACCACCUCCUCCACCAGAGUUGCCACCACCGACUCCAAAGAAGCC
Molecule: long non-coding RNA, 4140 nt
Filed under: Populus tremula
Lineage: Eukaryota; Viridiplantae; Streptophyta; Magnoliopsida; Malpighiales; Salicaceae
Description: long non-coding RNA (PTRE_LNC000469)
Source: RNAcentral